UACGGAGGGAGCAGGCGUUACUCGGAAUUAUUGGGCGUAAAGGGCGCGUAGGCGAUUUGAAAAGUCUUGUGUGAAAGCCCCGAGCUUAACUCGGGAAGUGCACAAGAAACUGUUGAAUUUGAGUUCCGGAGAGGAAGGCAGAAUUCCCGGUGUAGCGGUGAAAUGCGUAGAUAUCGGGAGGAAUACCAGUGGCGAAGGCGGCCUUCUGGACGGAUACUGACGCUGAGGCGCGAAAGCCAGGGGAGCAAACGGG
This 253-nucleotide ribosomal RNA is filed under the name uncultured bacterium. RNAcentral's name for it is "partial 16S ribosomal RNA". It matches the Rfam family "Bacterial small subunit ribosomal RNA", at positions 524 to 776 of the family's 1533-position model. The record is from RNAcentral.